This 1466-nucleotide ribosomal RNA is filed under the name Lactiplantibacillus plantarum. RNAcentral's name for it is "bacterial SSU rRNA". It matches the Rfam family "Bacterial small subunit ribosomal RNA". Lineage: Bacteria; Bacillati; Bacillota; Bacilli; Lactobacillales; Lactobacillaceae. The record is from RNAcentral.
AGGGGGGGGGCCCAAAUCAUGCAAAGUCGAACGAACUCUGGUAUUGGAUUGGUGCUUGCAUCAUGAUUUACAUUUGAGUGAGUGGCGAACUGGUGAGUAACACGUGGGAAACCUGCCCAGAAGCGGGGGAUAACACCUGGAAACAGAUGCUAAUACCGCAUAACAACUUGGACCGCAUGGUCCGAGUUUGAAAGAUGGCUUCGGCUAUCACUUUUGGAUGGUCCCGCGGCGUAUUAGCUAGAUGGUGGGGUAACGGCUCACCAUGGCAAUGAUACGUAGCCGACCUGAGAGGGUAAUCGGCCACAUUGGGACUGAGACACGGCCCAAACUCCUACGGGAGGCAGCAGUAGGGAAUCUUCCACAAUGGACGAAAGUCUGAUGGAGCAACGCCGCGUGAGUGAAGAAGGGUUUCGGCUCGUAAAACUCUGUUGUUAAAGAAGAACAUAUCUGAGAGUAACUGUUCGGUAUUGACGGUAUUUAACCAGAAAGCCACGGCUAACUACGUGCCACAGCCGCGGUAAUACGUAAGUGGCAAGCGUUGUCCGGAUUUUAUUGGGCGUAAAGCGAGCGCAGGCGGGUUUUUUAAGUCUGAUGUGGAAACCCCUUCGGCUCAACCGAAGGAAGUGCUCGGAAAACUGGGAAACCUGGAGUGCCAGAAGAAGGACAGGGGAACCUCCAUGUGUAGCGGUGAAAAUGCGGUAGAUAUAUGGAAGAACACCAGUGGCGAAGGCGGCUGGUCUGGUCUGUACUGACGUGAGGCUCGAAAGUAUGGGUAGCAAACAGGAAUUAGAUACCCUGGUAGUCCAUACCGUAAACGAUGAAUGCUAAGUGUUGGAGGGUUUCCGCCCUUCAGUGCUGCAGCUAACGCAUUAAAGCAUUCCGCCUGGGGAGUACGGCCGCAAGGCUGAAACUCAAAGGGAAUUGACGGGGGCCCCGCACAAGCGGUGGAGCAUGUGGUUUAAUUCGAAGCUACGCGAAGAACCUUACCAGGUCUUGACAUACUAUGCAAAUCUAAGAGAUUAGACGUUCCCUUCGGGGACAUGGAUACAGGUGGUGCAUGGUUGUCGUCAGCUCGUGUCGUGAGAUGUUGGGUUAAGUCCCGCAACGAGCGCAACCCUUAUUAUCAGUUGCCAGCAUUAAGUUGGGCACUCUGGUGAGACUGCCGGUGACAAACCGGAGGAAGGUGGGGAUGACGUCAAAUCAUCAUGCCCCUUAUGACCUGGGCUACACACGUGCUACAAUGGAUGGUACAACGAGUUGCGAACUCGCGAGAGUAAGCUAAUCUCUUAAAGCCAUUCUCAGUUCGGAUUGUAGGCUGCAACUCGCCUACAUGAAGUCGGAAUCGCUAGUAAUCGCGGAUCAGCAUGCCGCGGUGAAUACGUUCCCGGGCCUUGUACACACCGCCCGUCACACCAUGAGAGUUUGUAACACCCAAAGUCGGUGGGGUAACCCUUUUUUAGGGAAAC